This is a long non-coding RNA of Carya illinoinensis, 1239 nucleotides long. RefSeq lists it as uncharacterized. The transcript has 2 exons. The record is from RefSeq and is a predicted model, not a curated record. Lineage: Eukaryota; Viridiplantae; Streptophyta; Magnoliopsida; Fagales; Juglandaceae.
ACGGGUUGAAGCGUUUUUCAGCUUUCCUUUAUUGUAUAGAAUAUAUCCCAGUAUGGUCAGCUGUUUGGUAUUGCAGUUGACAAAUGGAAAGACAGAUGCAAGAGAAGACAAUAUAUAAUUCAGGACCACGCAAUUUGGUUAGAGAGAGUACUACAUAAAAAGAUUAUUAUGUGGUGGUCCAAACUUUGAUGCUUUCACAUACACAUGAAUGAUGAUUUCCUAUAAAUAGAGACCCAAAGGCGUAGUUUUUUCUCAUCAUCAUCCUUUCGGAUAAGGAAAUAUAUUUUUGAGAGAAGAGAGAUCUAUCAUGAGGAUAAGAGUCUUUGUUUGGUAGCCAAGGAUGACUUGCCUGCUCCUCCAAGCGGCUUCAAGAUAUAAUUAGCAGUUCCUCGUGUGUUUGGAUCCCUAGAAACUCUUUCUGUGAUUCGUAGGCAGUCUCCUUGGCUAAUCUUACAGUCUCUUCAUUCUCAUGCCAGGUCUUCUCUUCUUCGAACUGCAACGUCUGAUCAUCCCUCAUCAUGAACACUGCUAUAUAUAUUUAUUUUUGCAUGCAUGAUUCGAUCGUACGAGUGAAGAUUUAUGAACAUUCGAUAUCUUCUUUCUCUUCUUGUUUCUUUAUAUCAAUUGCUGAUGGAUCGAGCCAAUAUUGUAAUUUUCUCUGCAUGGCUCUUAUCCUCAUGAACUUCACGAGGUCUCGAUCCUGCAGCUUGUACUUUAUUUUAUAUCGUUUUUCUUGCUCUAUAUGCAUGGCUCCAUCUUUAAACCGCACGAUACUUUCUGUGGGAUUGAGAUUGAUCAAAAAAAGAAAGCCCAUUACACUAUUCGGCUAUUCCAACUAGUUAUAUGGUUUAAGAUUUGUCAAUACACAGUAUCUAACCACCCAUGUUCUGCAGUGAAUUAAAGAGUAUUGGAAGUUAGCAACUAUUCGAGUUUUGAAAACGAAACCAUUUCAAAGAUCUGAAAGUAAUGGUGAUUAGAGCUCCACAGUAUGAUGAACAUGGAAAAGGAUUCCAGGCUUGUUUACCAGAAUCGUUAGCAAUUAACGCAGAAGAUUAUACAUUUUGGCAGAAAAAAGUGUUAGGACGAGAGAGCGAAAUGGAGUCAUCUGAUCUUUACUUUUCCUGCAUCGCUAAUAUAUAUGUUUAUCAUAAUUAUGAUUAUUUUUAGCUCAAGUUCUUUAGUUUUCAUCUAAACUUGUCAAUGUUAACGUACGCAAUGAUCGAUGGCACUUGAAAAGUA